Molecule: ribosomal RNA, 253 nt
Filed under: uncultured bacterium
Lineage: Bacteria
Description: partial 16S ribosomal RNA
Rfam family: Bacterial small subunit ribosomal RNA
Source: RNAcentral
CACGUAGGGCGCAAGCGUUGUCCGGAAUUAUUGGGCGUAAAGAGCUCGUAGGCGGUCUGUUGCGUCCGCUGUGAAAACCCGGGGCUUAACCCCUGGCUUGCAGUGGAUACGGACAGACUAGAGGUAGGUAGGGGAGAAUGGAAUUCCCGGUGUAGCGGUGAAAUGCGCAGAUAUCGGGAGGAACACCGGUGGCGAAGGCGGUUCUCUGGGCAGUAACUGACGCUGAGGAGCGAAAGCGUGGGGAGCGAACAGG